CAGCAGCCGCGGUAAAACAGAGGGUGCGAGCGUUAAUCGGAUUUACUGGGCGUAAAGCGUGCGUAGGCGGCUUUUUAAGUCGGAUGUGAAAUCCCCGAGCUUAACUUGGGAAUUGCAUUCGAUACUGGGAAGCUAGAGUAUGGGAGAGGAUGGUAGAAUUCCAGGUGUAGCGGUGAAAUGCGUAGAGAUCUGGAGGAAUACCGAUGGCGAAGGCAGCCAUCUGGCCUAAUACUGACGCUGAGGUACGAAAGCAUGGGGAGCAAACAGGAUUAGAUACCCCUGUAGUCCCUGUCUCUUAUAC
This 301-nucleotide ribosomal RNA is filed under the name uncultured bacterium. RNAcentral's name for it is "partial 16S ribosomal RNA". It matches the Rfam family "Bacterial small subunit ribosomal RNA", at positions 509 to 807 of the family's 1533-position model. The record is from RNAcentral.